RNAcentral lists this ribosomal RNA (612 nucleotides) under uncultured freshwater bacterium. RNAcentral describes it as "bacterial SSU rRNA". It matches the Rfam family "Bacterial small subunit ribosomal RNA", at positions 8 to 607 of the family's 1533-position model. The record is from RNAcentral.
AGAGUUUGAUCCUGGCUCAGAUUGAACGCUGGCGGCACGCUUAACACAUGCAAGUCGAACGGCAGCACGGAAUAGAUUUAUCUAUUUGGGUGGCGAGUGGCGGACGGGUGAGUAACGCGUAGGAAUAUGCCUUUAAGACUGGGAUAGCCUUGGGAAACUGAGGGUAAUACCGGAUAAGCUCUACGGAGGAAAGCUGGGGACCUUAUGGCCUGGCGCUUAAAGAAUAGCCUGCGUCUGAUUAGCUAGUUGGUGGGGUAAAGGCCUACCAAGGCGACGAUCGGUAGCUGGUCUGAGAGGACGGACAGCCACACUGGGACUGAGACACGGCCCAGACUCUUACGGGAGGCAGCAGUGGGGAAUAUUGGACAAUGGGGGGAACCCUGAUCCAGCGAUGCCGCGUGUGUGAAGAAGGCCUGAGGGUUGUAAAGCACUUUCGGUGGGGAGGAGAGAUGGCAUGUUAAGAGCUAGCUAUUGAGACGUUACCCACAGAAGAAGCACCGGCUAACUCCGUGCCAGCAGCCGCGGUAAUACGGNGGGUGCGAGCGUUAAUCGGAAUUAUUGGGCGUAAAGGGUGCGUAGGUUGUUGGAUAAGUUAUCUGUAAAAGUCCUGGG